GGAGGAAUACCCAAGUCCGGCUGAAGGGAUCGGUCUUGAAAACCGACAGGGCGUUACCGGCCCGCGGGGGUUCGAAUACCUCUUCCACCG
This 90-nucleotide transfer RNA is filed under the name Staphylococcus aureus. RNAcentral's name for it is "tRNA-Ser". It matches the Rfam family "tRNA". From Rfam's summary of the family: Transfer RNA (tRNA) molecules are approximately 80 nucleotides in length. Their secondary structure includes four short double-helical elements and three loops (D, anti-codon, and T loops). Lineage: Bacteria; Bacillati; Bacillota; Bacilli; Caryophanales; Staphylococcaceae. The record is from RNAcentral.